Molecule: long non-coding RNA, 4807 nt
Organism: Portunus trituberculatus (swimming crab)
Lineage: Eukaryota; Metazoa; Arthropoda; Malacostraca; Decapoda; Portunidae
Exons: 7
Source: RefSeq, a predicted model, not a curated record
GCCGGACAGAGAGGAGGUACGACGUGGUUUCAGCAACAGGUGAGUGACCGUGACCUUAUCUCCGAAGGCGACAGCUUUGAAAACAUGGGUGUGUACCUGGAAAAGGCCGUGUCGCUCUCUGUACUCCUGCAGAAGCAAACUGGCGUGCGUCCGCUGUACUUUGGCUGCAACCUUCGUCGCCCGACGCCACCACCUCCGACCUCUGCUCCUACGGUGUGUGCAACGCCACGCUCGUCAUGAAGUGCAUACUGGAAAAGGUUGUUAACAUGUCCAGUGGGCUGCGCUCCUGACAGUGGCGCCACCUUCCCCCCUGCACUUAAGAAAGCAGUGCGUGGCAGUACGUAGCUGAGUGUGGUUUAGGAUUGAUGUGUGCCGCUAACAGUGAGGGAAGGAAUCUUGAGAAAAGGCAAACACUAGUCACAACCAGCAAGUGUAUGCUCCACCAGUCCCCCAAGCCCCCUCAGCACUACCUCUCCGCCUGCUGUGCCUCCACCUCAACAGGGAUGGGGUCAGCAGGAGGACUGUAUGUGGCAUGUGACUUGCUCCUGCUGCAGCCCCUCACAGUGGUCCUCUUCACUCUGCCGGGUCACAGGUCAAUGCACGGCUUGCUCUUGUGUCAGUGUGGAUUGGCUGGAGAAAUGGUCAUUUACAGUGGAUGAGAGGAUGGGGCAGUGUCUCCUGGAGCUGUGAGAGGUGAUGGAGGUGAUACGAUACCUUGAGUACACUCAGGACCUGCAUGCAACACCACCUCAUGCGGACACCUUCUCCAUUGACCUUGUAAUGUUUGUUAGCAAGCUGGUGGAGUCACAGGACCAGGAGCAGAGGUCCUGAUGGUGCUGGAUUCCUGCAGGAAGAGGAUAGAAUUCUACAGCAUGCCAGUCAAGAUAAAGGACACUCCACCACUGCCCGACAAUGGAGAGUAGCAAGAGCAUGUAGUUUCAAGGUCAUCUUCUCCCAAAAGCAAAGCAGAACCUCUCUACCAAGGGUUAUUAGGUGACGUGUCUGAGUAAGACCAAGAAGACUGAAGAGCAGAGCAUUGCACUUGUUGGUUUAGAGGAAGAAAACACUAAGCUCAAAAGCAGUGUGCAGCAGAUGGUGGGCUUUGUGUAUAAGAUCAAAGAUAGCUAUGAUGCUGCAGAGAAGAUACACCUACAAAUAGAGGAAUAGCAACAGGAGUGGGAGGCAAAGGUGGUCAGUGUCAGUAAAGACCACAGCCACAUCCAGGAGGAACUGCAGAAAACUGAGGGAUCCUUCUUUGAACUUGUGAGAAAGUCAAACAAGUUACUCAUGAGAAGAAUAAUUAUGUUGAGUACAACUGUGCUUUCAGUACUAUGCAGGAGAAACAUGAAAAGGCUCAAGAGGAACACAUGAACAAGAGAUGAAGAAAGCAUCAGGCAUAAUUAAACAUGCUGAAUUGAAGAUCUUUCUCUCACAGACUCUGUAACCAAGAAAGAUGCAGAGAUGAAGAGACACCCCACUCUUUUGGAAGACCUCACAGGGAACAUAAGAGGUUUAAGAACAAAGUAUGAAAGUGCAGAGGAUGAUGAACUAGAAAAAAAAAAUACAAGGCAUUAAGAAUGUUUUGGAAGAAGUUUAAGAAAGAAGCUUGCUUGUGGAUCCAAGGAGCCAGCAACUUAGAAGAAAUUGGCACCAAAGAAACAAUUAAAGCAGAAGAUGUGAAGAUAGGUGUGGUGAUGGUGAGGAUCCUGUGAUGCAGUAUUAAUACAUUGGAGGACAGGAUUCACCUCAACCAAGGCAGGAAUGAAAUAUGGAUGACGACUGGCCAAGUGGAUGAGGGCAAGGAGGUUUACUGUGAAGAGACAUGACAAGGAGGACCCUCAGACAACAGUACACAAGAGGAGAAACUAACAAGGAGUUAAUGAUCUGAAGGCCAAGAGGAGUAGCAUGUAGGGGAGAUACACAAAAUGGUAACAUGCAUCUUGAAUGGAUAUGAAAAAUGAAGCUGCUGAGCCAAAAUAAUGUUAGGUUCUUGUGUGAUGAAUGCCUGGAACAAAACACAGGAUGUAUGUAUGACAAAGGAGUAUUAGAAGCUUAAAGAAAGCAGCGAUAAGAGCUGCCAAACAGAAACCAAGAAGAGUGGCACCAAGGCCCAGAAAGACACUGCCAAGAAUCAGCAAGAUGUGACAAGACUGGACUAGAAAUGUGAAAGAAUGAUCAUGAUGAAGGCCCCCAGUAAAGAUUAUUGGGGCAUAACAUGCCUGUUUAAGUCAGGUGCUUCUUGCCUGUGGAGUAUUAUGUGCUUCUUGCCUGGGAGUAUUAUGUUAAUUGAAAAAAAGACAAAGCAAGAGACCAAGAAGAUGGAAGAUGCCAUACACAUUGUCCAGGGUGGAGGAAAUCAGUUACAGGAAAAUGGAAUGGAUAUCACUGUGAAAGAAAUAGUGGUAAGAAUCCUAAGAUAAACAUGAGAAAGUAUGGAGUACGAGAGGAUGAGAAGUGUAACAAAGUUUAAAAAAGUGAAUGGGCCAAGCAGAAUGAGGAUGGAAAUAAGAUAGAGCAGAUGAAGGCAAAAACAGUGUGUGGUGUGUGGACCUGAUGUGAAGAAUGAAUGAAUGACUGAGGAUAUACAUGGAAUGGAAGAGAGGCAAGAAAGGCUCGGAAGUUUGGAUGUAUGAAUGUGAGGUGUAGGAAACAAUGCCAUGAGUUACAUGGAUAAAGUAGAAUACACAAAUGAUCAUGGGAUGUAAGAAAUGUGGUGAAGUAGGCAAUAGUUGAAAUGUGUGGGACUGAGUGAAUGAAAGAAUAAGGUGGAAUAAAACUGCUUUGGAGAGGUACAGAGAGAAAUGGACUGCAGUGAGAGAAGUUGGUAUGAGGGAAUCUCUUUGACCACCAUGUAUGGAUGUGAAUGCAAGGAAUUUGAGUCCUGCAGCAAAGUGUGUCAGAUGUUUAAUAUAGGAGAGGAUGAAACAGUGGAGCUUGUGGUCCUUACUGUCUUAGUUCACACACUCCAGCGCCACAUACUCCACUGUCUCAUCCUCAUACCACACGUCUGGCACACUUUGCUGCAGAAUUCAGACUCCUUGCAUUCACAUCCAUACAUGGUGCUCUUGGGAAAGAGAGAUCAUCACAGAUUUCCCUUGUACCACUUUCUAUACCAACUCCAAAGUGCUCUUUUUGAUCAACAUUAUUGUAACAUUCACUCAGUCCCACACGUUCCACUAUUUGUCUCACUCUUCCUCUGUCUUACAUCCCGUGCUACCUUCAACUAUUCUUACUCUCAAUCACACAUCUUUUCUUGCUACAGGAAAAUGGAGUUGAAGCUGUGAUGCCUGCAGUAGUGGUAGGAAUCCGAAGAUAACCAUGAAAUAUUAAUAAUUACGUGGAGUACAAGAGGAUGAGAAGAGUACUAGUAACAAAGUUCAACAGUAGUGAAUGGCCAACAGCAGGAGGAACAGGAACAUGACCUCAACCUGGAUCAGACCUUCAGUGAUAGAUACCCUAUUCUGUACAAGGGAUGUGUAGUUCAGACCUUCAGUGAUAGAUAGCACACUAUUCUGUACAAGGGAUGUGUAGUUCACUUUAUUACAGAUAGCAACACAAUUCAUGAGAAUGAGACAGAGAGACACUACUACUGAAGGCAAGGACAUUCUCAUCCUUGUGUUGCUGUGUGUGGACCUGAAGUGAAAAAUAAAUUAAUGACUGAGGCUACAAGGAAUGGAAGAUAUAGGUCAACAAUCAGACAGAAAGGUAUUAUUAAGUUUGGAUGUAUGAAUGUGAGGUGUAGGAAUCUAUGCCAUGAGUGAGGAUGGUUUAAGUAGGAUACACAAGUGAUCACGGUAUGUUAGAAAGUGGAGAAAUGUGGUAAGGUAGACAAUAGUGAAAUGAGUGGGACUGAGUGAAUGAAAGAAUAAGAUGGAUGAAUUAAAACCACUUUGAAGUAUAUAGAAAGAAAGAGGCCCCAAUGAUAUGAUAUGAGUAUGUAUCUCUUGACCAAGGGCACUGUGUAUGGAUGUGAUUGCAGUCCUGUGGAAUGUGUGCGAUAUUGGAGAAGAUGAAAUGGUGGAUCAUGUGAUGCUUAUUGUCUGGCAUACUUCACACACUCCAACACCACAUGCUUCACCAUCUCAUCCUCUACCAUAUCACUCUGGCACACUUUGCUGCAGGACUACAACUCCUUGCAUUCACAUCCAUACACAGUUUCUCCUUGCUCUAAAGACAUCACCACCAAGACUUCCAUCAUAUCACUUUUCUUACACUGGAGCCUCUCUCUAUACUACUCCAGAGUAGUAGUCUUUUGUUCCACUUUAUAUUCUUCCAUUCUCUCAAUCCCACAUUUCAAUUGUCUGCCUCACUCUUCCUUUACAUCCCAUGCCCAAUCAUGGCUGAGUUUCCUGCACCUCACAUUCACACAUCCAAAUUUCAUGCCUUUUGUGCCUGAUUGUUGACCUCACUUACAUUCUUUGUAUCCUCAAUCAUUCAUUCUUCAUUCACCAGGUAAAACACAUACAUCCUUAAUAUUGCUGUCUGCAUUAAAGUGAACUACACACCUGGUGUUAGAGCCCAAGGCCCUGGGUUCAGGUUUAGAUCAUCUCAUCCUGCAAAAAUAACCUGCACAUCAGUGAGGAAGCUUUGGUUUGUCAAUUAACACCUGCAACACACCAUUCAGCAUAUUAUAUCUUUAGAUUUUGUUUAUAAUGAAGUAAGUGUUCUCUGAGGUCUGUUCAACAAAUGAAUAUAAUAUGUCCCUUUUAAACCACCAAAAGGAACCUAGCUGGUGCACAGUUAUUUGCAUAUUGUUGCCCUUGUUGACUCUCAGGCCAUUUUAAACUCAGGGAACAUCCAGCUGUCU